Molecule: transfer RNA, 76 nt
Filed under: Bauldia sp.
Lineage: Bacteria; Pseudomonadati; Pseudomonadota; Alphaproteobacteria; Hyphomicrobiales; Kaistiaceae
Description: tRNA-Ser
Rfam family: tRNA
About the family: Transfer RNA (tRNA) molecules are approximately 80 nucleotides in length. Their secondary structure includes four short double-helical elements and three loops (D, anti-codon, and T loops).
Source: RNAcentral
GGCCCCGUAGCUCAGCUCACAGAGCACCGGCCUGCUAAGCCGGAGGUCGCCGGAGAAUAACCGGCCGGGGCCGCCA